UACGUAGGGGGCAAGCGUUGUCCGGAAUUAUUGGGCGUAAAGCGCGCGCAGGCGGUCUUUUAAGUCUGAUGUGAAAGCCCACGGCUUAACCGUGGAGGGUCAUUGGAAACUGAAGGACUUGAGUACAGAAGAGGAGAGUGGAAUUCCACGUGUAGCGGUGAAAUGCGUAGAGAUGUGGAGGAACACCAGUGGCGAAGGCGACUUUCUGGCAACCAUCAGACGCUGAGGUACGAAAGCGUGGGUAGCAAACAGG
Molecule: ribosomal RNA, 253 nt
Filed under: uncultured bacterium
Lineage: Bacteria
Description: partial 16S ribosomal RNA
Rfam family: Bacterial small subunit ribosomal RNA
Source: RNAcentral